Molecule: non-coding RNA, 195 nt
Filed under: Marinomonas spartinae
Lineage: Bacteria; Pseudomonadati; Pseudomonadota; Gammaproteobacteria; Oceanospirillales; Oceanospirillaceae
Source: RNAcentral
UACGAUUCCUCUUAUAAAGGUGCCAGCUUGCUGGUGAAACGGGAAAUAGGUGCGUUUUUAGGAAGAAACAACCCCUGUACUGCCCCCGCAACGGUAAAUAAGUGAUGGAAUAUCUGCUCUAAUCCACUGUGAAAAUGGGAAGGAUUUGAGUUUUAUCUUAUGAGUCCGGAUACCGGCCUUUAUGGUGGUAGAGGU